CGCCUUGCCAGCCCGCUCAGAAACUUAAAUGAAUUGACGGGGGCCCGCACAAGCGGUGGAGCAUGUGGUUUAAUUCGAUGGUACGCGGGGAACCUUACCUGGGCUCAAAUGUAUGUUGACGUAUUCUGAAAGGGAUACUUCUUCGGACAAUAUACAAGGUGCUGCAUGGUUGUCGUCAGCUCGUGCCGUGAGGUGUCGGGUUAAGUCCCAUAACGAGCGCAACCCCUAUCAUUAGUUGCCAUCAGGUCAAGCUGGGGACUCUAAUGAAACUGCCUACGCAAGUAGUGAGGAAGGUGGGGAUGACGUCAAGUCAUCAUGGCCCUUACGGCCUGGGCUACACACGUGCUACAAUGGUCGGUACAAAGGGUUGCCAAGCCGCGAGGUGGAGCUAAUCCCAUAAAACCGAUCGUAGUCCGGAUCGCAGUCUGCAACUCGACUGCGUGAAGUCGGAAUCGCUAGUAAUCGUGAAUCAGAAUGUCACGGUGAAUACGUUCCCGGGCCUU
This 503-nucleotide ribosomal RNA is filed under the name uncultured Sphingobacteriales bacterium. RNAcentral's name for it is "bacterial SSU rRNA". It matches the Rfam family "Bacterial small subunit ribosomal RNA", at positions 903 to 1382 of the family's 1533-position model. The record is from RNAcentral. Lineage: Bacteria; Pseudomonadati; Bacteroidota; Sphingobacteriia; Sphingobacteriales.